UACGAAGGGGGCUAGCGUUGUUCGGAAUUACUGGGCGUAAAGCGCACGUAGGCGGACUUUCAAGUCAGGGGUGAAAUCCCGGGGCUCAACCUCGGAACUGCCUUUGAUACUGUUAGUCUUGAGCUCGGAAGAGGUGGGUGGAAUUCCUAGUGUAGAGGUGAAAUUCAUAGAUAUUAGGAAGAACACCGGUGGCGAAGGCGGCCCACUGGUCCGAUGCUGACGCUGAGGUGCGAAAGCGUGGGGAGCAAACAGG
Molecule: ribosomal RNA, 253 nt
Filed under: uncultured bacterium
Lineage: Bacteria
Description: partial 16S ribosomal RNA
Rfam family: Bacterial small subunit ribosomal RNA
Source: RNAcentral